UGGGGAAUCUUCCGCAAUGGACGAAAGUCUGACGGAGCAACGCCGCGUGAGUGAAGAAGGUUUUCGGAUCGUAAAACUCUGUCUUUUGGGGCGAACGUGAGUAUGGUGAACAAUCAUAGUCAGUGACGGUACCAAAGGAGGAAGCCACGGCUAACUACGUGCCAGCAGCCGCGGUAAUACGUAGGUGGCAAGCGUUGUCCGGAAUUAUUGGGCGUAAAGAGCGCGUAGGCGGGAUAGUCAGUCUGUUGUAAAAGUGCGGGGCUCAACCCCGUGAUGGCAAUGGAAACAGCUAUUCUUGAGUGCAGGAGAGGAAAGUGGAAUUCCCAGUGUAGCGGUGAAAUGCGUAGAUAUUGGGAGGAACACCAGUGGCGAAGGCGACUUUCUGGACUGUGUCUGACGCUGAGGCGCGAAAGCCAGGGGAGCGAACGGGAUUAGAUACCCCGGUAGUCCUGGCCGUAAACGAUGGGUACUAGGUGUGGGAGGUAUCGACCCCUUCCGUGCCGGAGUUAACGCAAUAAGUACCCCGCCUGGGGAGUACGGUCGCAAGACUGAAACUCAAAGGAAUUGACGGGGUCAUAGCUG
RNAcentral lists this ribosomal RNA (582 nucleotides) under uncultured bacterium. RNAcentral describes it as "partial 16S ribosomal RNA". It matches the Rfam family "Bacterial small subunit ribosomal RNA", at positions 355 to 932 of the family's 1533-position model. The record is from RNAcentral.